GGUUCACAAAGUUGAGGAGCCGCAGGUCGACCACUACUUUCAACAGAGUCUCCAUGAGCUGAAGUCGUAAUUGCAAAACUACCUUUUAUUUCACUGGUCACAAACUGAUCUGGAUGUUUAUCUGUCAGUGAGGUGGACUGAACACUAAGUGAAGCAGCAUCCACAAUUUUGAAAUUCAGGGGAUCGCCACCUUCCUCUAGAAAUUCUAACUGUCUUUUCCUUUCAUGUAGGCCACUGCACUCCUGCCUUAGCUCUGCUCGAACCUUCUCAAUUGCUAUUGUCUGCGGAGAAGUUAUGGUACCAAUACCCACUCCGCCUUCAACAAAUCCUCCCAUGGAAUCAAUCCCGGCAUCGACUAUAACAUCAGAUCCAAC
This 374-nucleotide unclassified non-coding RNA is filed under the name Hevea brasiliensis (rubber tree). Lineage: Eukaryota; Viridiplantae; Streptophyta; Magnoliopsida; Malpighiales; Euphorbiaceae. The record is from RNAcentral.